RNAcentral lists this long non-coding RNA (669 nucleotides) under Monodelphis domestica (gray short-tailed opossum). RNAcentral describes it as "lncRNA (ENSMODG00000035026.2)". Lineage: Eukaryota; Metazoa; Chordata; Mammalia; Didelphimorphia; Didelphidae. The record is from RNAcentral.
CUUUUCUUUACUGAUCUUUAGUUCAGCCUUAAUAGCUACUGCCUAGAAAAAAAAAUUUUUUCUGGCCAAGAUUUUUUACCCUAGCAAAGCUAUUGCUGAUCCAGCUCGUUCCAGCCAUUAGAUAGCUCGGCUCCACUCGGCCGCUUCUGCCUGCCUGCCUGCAUUCCUGCCUCCGCUCCAGACCUGCUUGCUAUUUGACCCAGACUGCCCCUCACCUGCCUGCCCUUCCCGGCUGGCUCAGCUCAGCUCCUGUUCCCAGCGUCUGGACCUGUUUUGACCCAGAUCUGGAUCACCUGGUAAUCCACCACCCCCUGGCUCAGCAAACUCUAGCCUCGGAGCAGAUUGCUCAUCACCUCAGGCCCAGGACUCAUUUCUACCAGCUUGUAAAGAUGGGGAGUGGAUUGUGGCCAGAUAUGAAGAGGAAAUGGAUCUCAUUUUUGUGUCAUUUCUAAGACAGAAGAGCAAGAUCUUCGCAAACAGGAUUAAGGAUUUAACCAAGAAGAUAUUUGAGGCCAUAUUUGAAGCCAGAUCCUCCUGACUCCAGACUUGGCACUCCAUCCACUGUGCCACCUAGCUGCACCAGCAAUCAUUUAAGGACCUGCUAUGUUCCAGAUCAGGCAGGUGCUGAGUUCCCAUCUGCCUUCAGACGUUUGCUAGCUGUGUGACCCU